Molecule: non-coding RNA, 536 nt
Organism: Bacteroidia bacterium 44-10
Lineage: Bacteria; Pseudomonadati; Bacteroidota; Bacteroidia
Source: Rfam
NNNNNNNNGAGUUUGAUCCUGGCUCAGGAUGAACGCUAGCGAUAGGCCUAACACAUGCAAGUCGAGGGGCAGCACAUGAGUAGCAAUACGAUGGUGGCGACCGGCGCACGGGUGAGUAACACGUAUGCAACCUACCUUUAACAGGGGAAUAACCCGUUGAAAAACGGACUAAUACUCCAUAACACAGGGGUCCCGCAUGGGAAUAUUUGUUAAAGAUUUAUCGGUUGAAGAUGGGCAUGCGUUCCAUUAGCUUGUUGGUGAGGUAACGGCUCACCAAGGCUACGAUGGAUAGGGGAACUGAGAGGUUUAUCCCCCACACUGGAACUGAGACACGGUCCAGACUCCUACGGGAGGCAGCAGUGAGGAAUAUUGGUCAAUGGAGGCAACUCUGAACCAGCCAAGUCGCGUGAAGGAUGAAGGUCUUAUGGAUUGUAAACUUCUUUUGCAAGGGAAUAAAGUGGGGGACGUGUCCUCCUUUGCAUGUACCUUGCGAAUAAGGAUCGGCUAACUCCGUGCCAGCAGCCGCGGUAAUACGG